AAGUCGUAACAAGGUUUCCGUAGGUGAACCUGCGGAAGGAUCAUUACCUAGAGUUGUAGGCUUUGCCUGCUAUCUCUUACCCAUGUCUUUUGAGUACUUACGUUUCCUCGGCGGGUCCGCCCGCCGAUUGGACAAAUUUAAACCAUUUGCAGUUGCAAUCAGCGUCUGAAAAACUUUAAUAGUUACAACUUUCAACAACGGAUCUCUUGGUUCUG
RNAcentral lists this unclassified non-coding RNA (215 nucleotides) under fungal sp. Its description in RNAcentral is "partial internal transcribed spacer region". The stretch from base 1 to 46 matches the Rfam family "Eukaryotic small subunit ribosomal RNA", at positions 1786 to 1831 of the family's 1831-position model. The record is from RNAcentral. Lineage: Eukaryota; Fungi.